This is a long non-coding RNA of Pogoniulus pusillus (Red-fronted tinkerbird), 1968 nucleotides long. RefSeq lists it as uncharacterized. The transcript has 3 exons. The record is from RefSeq and is a predicted model, not a curated record. NCBI's taxonomy places the organism in Eukaryota, Metazoa, Chordata, Aves, Piciformes, Lybiidae.
AAACCUUCAGCCAACAGGCAAGUACAAAUGACUCGACCCUUGCAGGAUUCCCACUGGUAGAUGUCUGUCUUCACUGCUACAUAAGUCAACAGUAACAACACUAAGAAUUUUGCCAGACUUCAAGUGACACUACUUCAGUCUUCAAACAGAACUGGGUUCGGGAUUGCUUCGGCCACCAGUCCAACAGUCCUAAGGAUCAUAUACAGACAGGCUUAUAAAGGAUGCUGAAACUUCCCGAAGCAGCAGCACAUCAGGAACAAAACAUGUCAGCAAGCCUUGCUUUGGCACCUACCUGAAAGCUUGCAGUUCUGCUCAGGCUUCGCAUGGAAGUCUUCGGCCUGAUGAGGGUGCUGUUCAUCACAGGGAGACUUCAACGCUGUCUCCAUCACAAAACGAACCCAAAGUGAAAAAAAUCCAAGUCUUUGAGGACCACUUCUGGACACCUGUGGAGGUAAGCAUAUUUGAUACGACACUUGCUGGCACUGCACUUAGUUCCUCAUUGUGAGAUGAGAUUUAAGGAGCCUGAGGAUUUCCUCAUCUCAGGAAAUAAAACUUAACCAUAAACCCACUCUGUAACAGCUAAAAAAGGGGGAAGGGAAAGAAGAUUAAUGCAUAAACUUAGACACAAGUGAUUCCUUUCAUCUCUUGUGUCUUUCCUCAUUCAUGUUAAAGCAUUAUUUUUUCCCCUGAAGUUUGCUUUGAAAGGCAAGGAACUGAUGCACACAUAAAUAGCCAUGCUGCAGACUGCAACAGCCAUACAAAGGCAGAAAGCUUGAAAGAAACUCUCAUGGAAAAAUAGUAUCUUCUCAAUAUGAGGGAUUUCUCUCUUCUAGAUCAAGGCAUAGUUAUUAGUUGCCCUCCCCCAAUAACAAGAAAUAGCACAUGCUUCUUUUGAAAUGCUUCCUCCUACAUCUUGAAAACACUGUAAAUACAGCAGUCAAUUAGUCAAAGUGUACUAACAUUGUACAAUUAAAAAAACCCUGAGAAACACACUUCAUGAGGAAAAGAAAGGCAGAGCCCCACAGCAGGAUAGGUGAUGAUAAGUGAGUCAGGGAGUGCCACCUCUUACCACCCCAACGCUGGUUCCAAAGACCUUCCCUGCUUGUAAUUUUGCCAAGUGUUCAAAUUUCUGGCUGAACUUUUGCACACAGGAGAAAUACAUUCUGAAAAACUUCAAAUGAAAGGAUUCAUCUAGUUUAGCUGUGGAGGUAGAAAUACGUAUUUCCUCCUUAAAGAGUUCGAGCUACCUUUAGUCUGUCAUCCUUGUGUAACAGCACAGGGACGGGCAAUAGCCUCUUGUUUUAAGGGAGCUUUGCUGUAGAGUGGGACUAGGAAACUAAUGCGAUGAAAUCAGAGAUGCUUCUAGUUUCUAACAGGUUAGACACUCCCUCUGCUAGUGCGGAGUAGGCAGAUAAGCCUGCUCCAAACUUGAAACAACACAGCCUCAUCAGCAGUAUAAGGAAUAGCUUAUUUAGUACAGUCAACCUCUGCCAUUGCUUACCACGGCUUACUUGCUCCAAUGCAGCCCCAUGCUAGCCUAAGCUCUACCGCUCAAGGCUGGCCACAAACACCUUGUUCAGAAAAAGGAAACAACUGUUUCUUUUCUGCCUGCAAACCACCACGGCUACAUUUCACCGCGUCUUGGCCUUGAGAAGGGUGAAAGGGACUCAGUAUCUCAAGAUGUCAUUUCCAUUGAUUUCUGUUCAAAAUUACUACCUGCAGAACCAAAACUCCCAAACAUCUAUCUAAAAAUGGUUUACUAACUUAGAAUCGGAUUUAACAGCCCUGGAACAUCAAAGAAAGGUUGACUCAGAUGUUUAGCUCUUACCUUAAAAAACCACUCAAGCCACCACUCUAGUUAAAAAAUUAAGAAGGAGAAAAAGAUGAUCGUUUCGGCUCAACUAAAUUUCUUGUAAUAAGAUCACAUCUCCAACUUGAAAAAAAAAUUAAUCUCUGGAUUACCAAAAU